This 253-nucleotide ribosomal RNA is filed under the name uncultured bacterium. RNAcentral's name for it is "partial 16S ribosomal RNA". It matches the Rfam family "Bacterial small subunit ribosomal RNA", at positions 524 to 776 of the family's 1533-position model. The record is from RNAcentral.
UACGAAGGGGGCUAGCGUUGUUCGGAAUUACUGGGCGUAAAGCGCGCGUAGGCGGCUUUGCAAGUCGAGUGUGAAAUCCCCAGGCUUAACCUGGGAACUGCAUUCGAGACUGCAUGGCUAGAGUAUGGGAGAGGGAAGUGGAAUUUCAGGUGUAGCGGUGAAAUGCGUAGAUAUCUGAAGGAACAUCAGUGGCGAAAGCGACUUCCUGGACCAAUACUGACGCUCAUGUGCGAAAGCGUGGGGAGCAAACAGG